Molecule: long non-coding RNA, 253 nt
Filed under: Mytilus galloprovincialis (Mediterranean mussel)
Lineage: Eukaryota; Metazoa; Mollusca; Bivalvia; Mytilida; Mytilidae
Source: RNAcentral
UUAGAUAAUAGAAAUGUAAAGUGGGAAAAAUUCUGUGUUACUGAAAAUGAUUUGGUUAUUUUUCUUAAAAAGGUUAUUAAAUGAAUGUGCAUCUGAUAUUUUUUUAUGUAUGUUACUUUAUUUUGUAAAAACAAAUGGACACAACAUAGAUUGACAACAUAAUGAGGAGAACCACCUCGGCAGCAAAGAUAACAGUUCCAGGGAAGAUGGUCAAUAUAAUCUUCAACCAAGUCUGAGGCUUUACCAUGAAAAU